RNAcentral lists this ribosomal RNA (455 nucleotides) under uncultured Pseudomonas sp. RNAcentral describes it as "bacterial SSU rRNA". It matches the Rfam family "Bacterial small subunit ribosomal RNA", at positions 927 to 1382 of the family's 1533-position model. The record is from RNAcentral. Lineage: Bacteria; Pseudomonadati; Pseudomonadota; Gammaproteobacteria; Pseudomonadales; Pseudomonadaceae.
AAGCGGUGGAGCAUGUGGUUAAUUCGAAGCAACGCGAAGAACCUUACCAGGCCUUGACAUGCAGAGAACUUUCCAGAGAUGGAUUGGUGCCUUCGGGAACUCUGACACAGGUGCUGCAUGGCUGCCGUCAGCUCGUGUCGUGAGAUGUUGGGUCAAGUCCCGUAACGAGCGCAACCCUUGUCCUUAGUUACCAGCACGUUAUGGUGGGCACUCUAAGGAGACUGCCGGUGACAAACCGGAGGAAGGUGGGGAUGACGUCAAGUCAUCAUGGCCCUUACGGCCUGGGCUACACACGUGCUACAAUGGUCGGUACAAAGGGUUGCCAAGCCGCGAGGUGGAGCUAAUCCCAUAAAACCGAUCGUAGUCCGGAUCGCAGUCUGCAACUCGACUGCGUGAAGUCGGAAUCGCUAGUAAUCGUGAAUCAGAAUGUCACGGUGAAUACGUUCCCGGGCCUU